CGAGCACGCGCGUGUGGCAUAUCAAUAAGCGGAGGAAAAGAAACUAACUAGGAUUCCCUCAGUAACGGCGAGUGAAGCGGGAAGAGCUCAAAUUUGAAAUCUUCAAGGUUCUACCUUGACGAAUUGUAGUUUAAAGAAGUGUUUUCUGUUGGAGUUUUGGUAAAAGUUCUUUGGAAUAGGACAUCAUAGAGGGUGAGAAUCCCGUAUUUGACCAUUAUUUCCAACUUUGUGAUACACUUUCAAAGAGUCGGAUUGUUUGGGAAUGCAGUCCAAAAUGGGUGGUAAAUUUCAUCUAAAGCUAAAUACUGGCGAGAGACCGAUAGCGAACAAGUACCGUGAGGGAAAGAUGAAAAGAACUUUGAAAAGAGAGUUAAACAGUACGUGAAAUUGUCAAAAGGGAAGCGUUUGACACCAGUGUUGUUUUUCCGAAAAUCAAUUACGAAUGUAUUGAUUUUUGAGGAGUUAUGACUUCAUCGGCUUGCUCCUUUCUUUAUGAAACUUUCUUAAUGCACUUUUCGGUUAACAAGUCAACAUCAAUUUCUUUUGUUGUAAAAGGGUAUGAGGAAGGUGGCUUUCUUUUCGGAGAAAGUGUUUAUAGCCUUGUGCCUCUGCAAUCGGAGAGAUUGAGGUCUGCAGCGUAGAUCCUUCGGGGUUAGAUAGCAUUUGUGCUAAGUUAUAGCCUUUCAUAGACAACUUGUUGACUAUGAUUAGUCCUGUAGCUUACUCGCUUACUGCUAUUUUACCUACGCUUAGGAUGUUGAGUCAUCACACAUCUCU
Molecule: ribosomal RNA, 777 nt
Filed under: uncultured Neocallimastigales
Lineage: Eukaryota; Fungi; Neocallimastigomycota; Neocallimastigomycetes; Neocallimastigales
Description: partial large subunit ribosomal RNA
Rfam family: Eukaryotic large subunit ribosomal RNA
Source: RNAcentral